GAUGAACGCUGGCGGCGUGCCUAAUACAUGCAAGUCGAGCGAACAGACGAGGAUCUUGCUCCUCUGACGUUAUCGGCGGACGGGUGAGUAACACGUGGAUAACCUACCUAUAAGACUGGUAUAACUUCGGGAAACCGUAUCUAAUACCGGAUAAUAUAUUUAACCGCAUUUUUCAAUAGUUAAUGACGUUUUUGCUGUUUCUUAUAUAUGUAUCCUCGCCGCAUUAGCUAGUUUGUAAGGUAACGGCUUACCAAGGCGACGAUGCGUAUCCGACCUGAGAGGGUGAGCGGCCACACUGGAACUGAGACACGGUCCAGACUACUACGGGAGGCAGCAGUAGGGAAUCUUCCGCAAUGGGCGAAAGCUUGACGGAGCAACGCCGCGUGAGUGAUGAAGGUAUUCGGAUCGUAAAACUCUGUUAUUAGGGAAGAACAAAUGUGUAAGUAAAUAUGCACGUAUUGACGGUACCUAAUCAGAAAGCCACGGCUAACUACGUG
RNAcentral lists this ribosomal RNA (497 nucleotides) under uncultured bacterium. Its description in RNAcentral is "partial 16S ribosomal RNA". It matches the Rfam family "Bacterial small subunit ribosomal RNA", at positions 28 to 507 of the family's 1533-position model. The record is from RNAcentral.